Molecule: ribosomal RNA, 372 nt
Filed under: uncultured bacterium
Lineage: Bacteria
Description: bacterial SSU rRNA
Rfam family: Bacterial small subunit ribosomal RNA
Source: RNAcentral
CCCUCUGACCGGUCCGUAACGGGAYUUUUCCUUCGGGACAGGGGAGACAGGUGGUGCAUGGUUGUCGUCAGCUCGUGUCGUGAGAUGUUGGGUUAAGUCCCGCAACGAGCGCAACCCCUAUCCCCAGUAGCCAGCAGGUAGAGCUGGGCACUCUGAGGAGACUGCCAGGGAUAACCUGGAGGAAGGCGGGGAUGACGUCAAAUCAUCAUGCCCCUUAUGAUUUGGGCUACACACGUGCUACAAUGGCGUAAACAAAGGGAAGCGAGAGGGUGACCUGGAGCAAAUCCCAAAAAUAACGUCCCAGUUCGGACUGUAGUCUGCAACCCGACUACACGAAGCUGGAAUCGYUAGUAAUCGCGGAUCAGAAUGCCG